CCUGGCGACCAUAGCGAGUGUGAACCACCUGAUCCCUUUCCGAACUCAGUAGUGAAACCGCUCCGCGCCGAUGAUAGUGUGGCAUUCGCCAUGUGAAAGUAGGUCAUCGCCAGGC
RNAcentral lists this ribosomal RNA (115 nucleotides) under Moraxellaceae bacterium. Lineage: Bacteria; Pseudomonadati; Pseudomonadota; Gammaproteobacteria; Moraxellales; Moraxellaceae. RNAcentral also lists the same sequence under 1 other name. The record is from RNAcentral.